GAUUAACAACGUUGGAAAAAUUUACUACCUGAACUUUAGAAGUUUCCUUUUAUAUGUUCUUAUUAAUUGAUUUCACUAUUCCUAUGCUUUUCACUGUCAUGUCAUCAUUCCCAUGGAAGAUGCACAUGUGGGGGCAUGGGUCGCAGUAUCGAAGAGGGCCAGAGUCACUGAAAGGAACACAGCCUCGAGCCAUGCUAAACAUCCCAUGCUAUUGCUGUGCAGAAGGUUGCAAAAACAACAUAGACCACCCAAGAGCAAAGCCUCUAAAGGACUUUCGGACCCUUCAAACACACUACAAGAGGAAGCAUGGCAUGAAGCCCUUCAUGUGUCGCAAGUGUGGGAAGCUGCUGGCAGUGAAAGGAGACUGGAGAACACAUGAGAAGAAUUGUGGCAAGCGCUGGCUUUGCAUUUGUGGUUCGGAUUUUAAGCACAAGAGAUCACUCAAAGACCAUAUCAAGGCUUUUGGCCAUGGCCAUAGACCUUUUCCACCUAAUUCUUUUGAUGAAGUCAGGGAUCUUGAUGAGGAUACUAGUACCACACCAUCGUUGUUUAAAGGCAUGUCAAGUGACACAACCUCUUAACGCAAAUGAAAAUUUUGUGUUCCCCUCUUGAACUUUUUAUGAUGAAGAAUCGUUGACGAAGAUUUGAAUGAAAAAUUCUAUGAGUUUGAUACACAAAUCAGUUGACUAUUUCCAUGAUAUUUUCCUUUCAGUAGAAAACUGUGGUGUCAUGUAAUUUAGAGAUCAUAUUUGUAAGGGAAAUUCUGAAAAAUAGCCAACUUCUCAGCACUGUAAAGAUUUUUAAAAUAAAAAAAGGUAAAAUUUGAACCAUUUUAACUAAAAAAAGACUUAGAAAGGCAGCAUGGGAAUUAAACUUGGCCACCAAAAGUUAGGAAACAAACAUCAACUGCGCUGCAGCCUGCACACAAUGGUUAGCGCUGCACAAUAAACUUGACUUUAUUGUGAUAAAUAGUUUGUUUCAACUUUCAAGCCCUCCUUGAUGCGAGACCCUAGGAGGUCGCCUCAUGGGACUCCCUUCAGGGCCGACCUCUUGCUAUUUCUUAGAGCAAAUAAUGUUUAUAAUAAUAAGAACUUACUAUGUAUGUGUCUAGCUCUCACGUUACACUACUAAGAAAAACAAUGGGCUUGUUUAUUGGUCUACAAAAGGGGUUUGUAUUGGCAUUUUUGGUGCCUAAUAUAUCGAAGUAGUAAUUUUUAGUAUAUUUGGUACCAAAAAAUUCAAUACAAACCCCUUUUGUGAAGAACCUAUCAUGUUGGCGAGUGUAAAAGUUUCUUUUCUACUUAAUUAGUUUAAGAUCCAUAAAUUGAUAAUAUUAGUGAGAAACACUUACUUUCAAGAGAGUUAAAAAUUUUUGAACAUUUUAGAAUUCCUUAACACUCUCAAAUUUCCUCAUCCCAUGUGCAUGACUUUAAGUGUUUUUCUAAAUUAUGAAUUAGACUUUUGAGAGGCUUAUUUGUGAAAGCCAUUUCUUUUUUCCCCAGUUACAAGUACUUGGGCUUACAAUAAGGCAUUAUUGUGCUUUCUCAGGCAUACACAGGAACUUUUGUGAAAAUGGAUGCUUUAGUGAGGGAACUUGGGUGGACGAUGAGUGGCAGCCUGGCAGGUGCUGGGCCAAAGCCAGCCAACAUCUGUUUUCUUUUUUCAAUUGUAUCCCAAGGUACAAAAGUGAAAUUUAAAGUUUGCCAAAAACUAAAGGGUCACGAAAAGUAAAAAUUCAAAGAGGGAUGAUAGAGACUCAGGUAAUGGUCAUAAUAAUGGAUAAUGCUCUAAAUUACUCGUAUCGAUAAAUGAAAAUUAUAGGGAAAAAAGGUAUCUAAAGAGUACAGCCGCACGGCUAUACUAUUAAAAAAAAUUAGAGAGAACCGAGUAUAGUCGUGCGGCUAUACCAUUGUUUAAAGAACCGAGUAUAGACGCGUUUAUUUUUUAAAAAGACCGCAGCGCUUAGUCUCUCACGUGUAAAAACAGUAUAGCCGUCGGCUAUCGCCCGGCUAUACUAGUUUAAAAAAAUUUAAAAGCUCGUAUAGCCACACGGCUAGACUAUUUUAAAAAAGCAAAAAAAAAAAAAAGAAAAAAAAAAGAGUACCUGCCUAUCCAUUAGCCUCUCACAUUCAUUCAUAGUUAGUAAAAUACAAAACGAAAAAAAAUAUGAAUAAAAUACGUAUGUGUUUUAUCCGGUAAAAUUUUGGCAAAUUACAACUUUAAAGUAUGGCCACUAUAUUAUAUUUUAAUAUAAUUCAUAUACAUUUUUAAUAUAUAUUAUUUUUAUUUAAUAAUUUGUGAGAAUUAUGUGUACAAUACGUGAUUUUUGUGUGUCUUAUUGAAAAUUUUGUAUUAAACACGUGUAUUAAACAUGAAAAAUACAUACGUAUGUGUACGAUACGUGUAUUGUAUGUUGGUUUUUUAAAUACGUAUAUUUUACCGAGUCUUUAAGACGUGUACGAAAAACAGAAGUAUUAUUGAAAAGCACAUACGUGUUUAAUACAAGUAUUAAACGGGAAAAUGCUAAAUUCUUUAAACGGUAAAAACUCACGAAAAGUAAAAACUCAAAAGGAGACAAUAGAGACUCGAGAAAUGGCAUAAUAGUAACAGAUAAUACUCUAAACUACCAUUGUAGACAGAAAUUUCGAGUACCAGAAGAACUUCUUUUGAAUUUAUUUUAAAAAUUUUAUAUAUUGGAGGAUUGGAAUGCAGGACUUCGAAUUCAAGUGUAAACACUCAACCCAUUGAGCUAACAUAAAAUCAAAAGUUGAAAUCACAUAAUUGAUGUCCCUUGCUUGAUAUAGUUUCUUGCCUUUUUGAUGGUUUGCUUGUGACAUGGAAUCAAAAUUCGAAAUCACAUCAUUGAUGUGUAUAUUGAUCAAAUGUUCCAUUUUAAAAUUACAAGAGUUCGUGAAGCAUUAUUAUUAGAUACGCCAACUUGGAAAGCAAGCACAUAAAACAAACAAAAAAGCAAAAAGGAACUUCUCAUGACCCAAGAAAUUCAAAAAAUACACAAAAGCACAUAAAAAUUCAAACAAAAAGGAACUUCUUAUCAGGAACAAGAUGAUCCAAGUAUGGACUGAAACAACUAGUUAGAUUCUAGUCAAUUCAGAUUUCUUGGAGAAAGAAGAACCCGGUUAAUCAUGUUGUCCAAAGCCAAGAAUGAUAACCCAUUUGGACCAGUAGCGGCCUCCUCUGCCAACUUCUUCCAUUCCGUGGCUUUCUUCCUCAUCUCUUUGCCCUUCUCUCCCUCCAUUAAUGUUCGCACAAGGUCCUCUAUGUAGUUUCUUUUAACAUCACCCUCUAUCUCUAUGCCUACGCCCCAUUCUUUGCAACAGAACCUGCAAUUGGUUUGUUGCUCUGCAAAGAAGGGCCAACAGAUCAUGGGCACUCCACCACACAAACUUUCAAGGGAAGAGUUCCAUCCACUGUGUGUCAAGAACCCUCCUACAGCUGGGUGGCUCAGGACUUGUUCUUGAGGGCACCAACUUGAGAAUAGACCCCUUUCUUCGGUCUCUUCCAAAAACUCCGGUGGAACCACAGCGGAUUCUCCAAGAACAAGGUCAGGCCUUAUAACCCAUAAAAAGGCCUUGUUGCUAUUUGCAAGUCCCCAAACAAACUCAAUUAGUUGCUCAGAUGUCAUGACUGUGAUGCUUCCAAAGUUGACAUAAACCACAGAAUUUGGUUCUUUUGAGUCAAGCCAUUCAAGGCACUCUGUUUCUUCUCUCCAUAGAUUUGAUUCAAUCGACUUCAAAUUGUUAUAAUCUGGUGGAAUCUGACUAACCUGUAGUUGAAGGGGUCCAAUGCAGUAAAUAGGUGGUAGCAAAGUCGAAAGUGCAUCCAGAACUUCAAGCUCUAAGGCGUCAAAUGUGUUGAAAAUGAUUGCUGAAGCUUUCUGGGCUCGUUCGUACUCACUCACAAGAUAUUUCAGCAUGAUGUCAUUUGGAUCUGUGGUUCUGACGAAGGUUGGCAAGUCCCUCAAACGAAUAUGUCUCAUGCCUGGUAUCCAAUCUAUUACAGUAUCUAAAUACCCAUUUGUCAAAUAGCUGGCAUCUGCAAAUCAAAUAGGUCUUCUGAGUCAAACAUUCUAACCAAAAAAGAAAAAAAAAAAAGUUAACAAUUUUAUUAUGUAGUGUCCCCAAAUGACCAGUGAGGAAUUUGAAGUAAAUUCCUCUUUUUUUUUUUAAUUGAUUAUUUUUGAAGAUUGAAAUAUUCUUUUAUUAGACAAAUGCGAACGUUGUUAGAUUGAAUAUAUAGUAUACAAGAGUCAACUUGAUUACUAUUCAGAUUCACAUUCUAAUAAUAUAAAUAUUGUUUGACAAGUGAACGUUCUUGUCAGUAUAAUAGUACCUUUAAGAGGAAUUAAACCCUUUUCCAUCAGAGGGAGAUACUGAAGGUAACCCAACGAGCCACAAGCACUCGUUGUUUCGAAAAGAACACAGGGAAUGCCAAAUUCUUGGGCUGCAUCAAGUGAGAAUGUCAUGCCACCAUCAGAAACUAAGCAAGUAACUGGAGGGGAAUGGGGUAAAGAGUUAAGCUUUGAUAAAAGGUCUCUGAAGGGUGCUAAGCAAUUUUUACUAGUGGAAAGGCAUAGGGAUGGUAUGUCUUGGGUGGCGUUGUCAUCAGAUGGAGGGAGGCCAUCAGGAAUGGUCUCGAAUUGAAAGGAGGGGAGGCCGUCGAGAGAGUUGGGACCUCGAGAUUUAAGGAGGCGUUUGUGGUUGAACUCUGUGUUCACAAAGGUUAUAUGAAAACCUUUGUAGUGGAGGAGCUUAGCUAAUUUCAGCAUUGGGGUUAUGUGACCUUGAGCUGGGUAGGGUAUGCAAACUGCAUGUGGCUUCUUUGUCAAGGCAACAGAACCCAUUCUCUCGUUUCUCUCAAAUCACACACAAAACCUAUGGAAAAUAGGAUAUGCUAUGGUGAAGAGCACCUGCAGUUUUAUAGCAGUGACAUACAAUGUCAAUAAUUGGUGGUCAAUCAUGGACCUGGACAUGUACAUUGUAUUCUCUGAUCAACUUUGCCACAUUUUUAAAUCAUGACCAUUCCUUUUAUUUCCAUUCCGCACCAAUCAUGUCUAAUUAACGACAAAUCGUUAUGUUCUUCAAUCUAGAAUGCGAGAAACGUGUGAAACAGAACAUGUAUAAUCACUAUAUUCCUCAGGCAGAUGUGAGCCAUACCCAAGUUUGGCCAAGCCCAAAAGCAAGACUUGUUUGGGCAAGCUAACCUCACGUUGACGUCAAUAGCCAAUUUAAAUAUUAAAAAAACGAGAAAAAAAAAUGAAAAAAUUCAGAAUUUUUUAUAUAUAAAUACCUAGUCAUAUUCUUCACUUCUCACACCAAAACUCCAUAUAAAUUUAUCUCCUCAUAUUUCAUGUGAAUAGUUGUUGCUCUUGAGUUGCCAUAACAAUGGGUGGGAAUGCAUAAAAAAGAUUUGCUAAGGCAGUCACUAUUCAUAUGAACAGUAAUAGUCCUUGUCUUUUGCCAUGGCAAAUGGGUGAUAGUACUCUAAGAAGAGGGACAUUGCACCCAACGAAAACUAGGUCAAAGCAUAAUAAACAUGAAUGGGCGAAAUAAUCUACGCGAAACCUAGCAAAUAAUAUGAGGCAUAGUUGUAAAAACUAAGGAUAAUAUAGUAAAUUAACAAUUUUUCAUAUUAAAAUUUUUUUUAAAUCAAAAUCAAAGUAAAAACAUGGUCCUAUUUUCACGAGACACAAAAAUCAAACUCAUUUUCUCUUUCGUAAUUUUAAAGUUAAAAAAAAAAAAAAAACAACUAGUGUAUCGGCUAAGUAAGAUAUGAGGAACAAUACGGCUUUUUAUAAAUUCAGCCAGAUAACUCAUGGUGUGGUUACUAAUCAGGAAUUGGAAUUCUCAUCAGGAAUUGAAUUCCACUUAUAGAGGAAUCCUGUGUUUAUUUCGUAUCAAGGAAUUGAAAAGUGAGUGGGGUCCGCACGAAAUUAGGAUUUGAAUUCCUAAUUUUGGAGGAAUUCAAUUCUUGGAUGGGAGGUGAUAUUCUAAUUCUUGGAGAAUUAACCCAUUAGGAAUUUAUCUUUUUUACCCAUUAUAUCCUCACACAAUUUUCAAAUUUUCAAAUUUGCCAUCUACUUAAACCCAACAACUAGGACGAUUUAGUAAUUAGUACCACUCAUACCCCAAUUCUAUAUGGUUUAGUAAACAACUUCAAUGAAAAUCUGAAAUCUAAUUCUCCUUAAUCCAACUCUUCCUCAAUUCAAUUUCUUUUAAUCCAAUUACGAAUAAACAUGCCAUCAGUUGCUUGUUCGGCCUGGUGUCUGAUAUUCAUUAUAAGUUGGGCUGAGCCCUUUUGGGCUUGCCUUGUUUUGGAACUUCUUUUUUUAUUUUUCUUUUUUGUGCUUAAUAUAUUUUUGUUGUACAGAAAAAAAAAAAGAAAAAAAAAGAAAAAGAAAGUGAUAACAGCACCGAUCGAGCUUUCAUGAAAGCACAUGUAUUCAUAGUACAAUUAUAGAGAGAGCACGUCAUCUUAGCCAACUUGCAUAUUAAUCCAAAAACCUGCCAAGGAACAUGGUAUGCAAGCAGUAUCACCACUGGCACCACAGAUAUCUGAUUUCUAAUGUCAUGCUAUGUUUCAUACGGCAGAUGGAUAGGGCUUUAAAGCACAAAUCAGAUCUUCCAAAUCUCGGCAAAAAUUUACCUAUUUCAUUGCAUCAGCUCCCAAGAAAAUGCCAGUCCUUGAGCCAUAUUAGACAUCCAUUUCUUUUUGUCGUGCUAAAUAUUGAAAAGCCAACAUGGAGUGGACCACCUAAGAGCAAACAAAUCCUUUAAGAGUCGGUCCAUUUGGAUGGAGUGAUUUCAAAUUCCGGGAGUUUGAAGAAAUUAUAAGGUUAAAUUUUUUUAUUUAGAUUAUUACGAUAUAUGUAUACUAAGAUUUGAAUAAGAAUGAAAUGACGAAAACAAAUGAAUUAUUGCACAUAGUCAUUUGAAACUCAUUCCGAAUAUACUAUAUUUACGGCUAGUUAUCUCAAACACAUUCGAUCUAAUCUUUUCUUUCUGCGACUUCCAUCCAAACGGAGCCAGAUUUCGGGCCUUUCAAACGCACUACAACAGGAAGCAUGACAUUGACAUGGAAGCCCAUUACGUGCAGCAAGUAUGGCAAGUAGUUGGCAGUGAAAGAUGACCGGAAACGCAUGAGAAGGAGCAAGCGUUGGAUUUGCAUUUGUUUUUGUGGUUCAGAUUUCAAGCACAUCACUACAAAAAGUAAGUGGAAGAUGUUGACAUAUAUGGAGAAAUCUCCAAUGCUGUCUAUAAUUAUUGUUAGGUUUGAAUAAUUCUCAUGGUAACAAAAAAUGUGAAGACACGGAUGCCAGAGAACGAAAGACAAGGGCUGCAUGGAAAUUAUUAUUAUAUUUUGGUCGAAAGAUGGAAAUUAUUAGAAAAAGUACAAAUAAGUGCCCGUCACACUCCAGACAAGUGGGCAUUUGCGUGAGAUUCCACUCCUACAUGCCCUUUGGAGGAGGGAAAGGUUAAAAUUUGUUUGAGUUGUUCUUCUUUAUUUUUCCAUUUAUCAACAUGACUUUCUACUUAUAAUUGUAUUUUGAAGUGAGAAUUAGUGCUUAAAACAUGGAAUUAAUUAGUGGAUACAAGUGAGGUCCGAAAGAGAAAAGUGAACUCAGUUUGUAUUUUAGUAAAUAUAUGGAAGAAAACUCCAUUUAGAUCCAAAACUUGAAUUGGAAAAUUUUAAUUUUAUUUCCUGAUACCAUUUUCGGUAAAAUUCUACGCGUCUCAAUUAUACAACCAGCCAAAUUAAGCUAAUACAAACGGUUUGAUUGAGUUUUUACACUAAAAAAGUUAAUCUUAAACGAAACUGAACCAAAUAGCAAUUAUUCAUGAAAGCUACAUAAACCGAAUCAAACUACCUAUAUUAAUCUUUGUUUUUUUUAACACCUAACAUUUUCUGUAUUGGUUAUUAUCACCAUCUCAUGUGUUUGUUUCAUUCCAUAAUGCACCUCCUUUUUAUUAUUAAACUUCUCCAUCUUCAAUGGAACUAAAAUGUUUGCUUAAUUAUUGUUUAUGCCACUAGUUUAAGAUCUAAAGCAAACAUGAUAUUAUAUUACAGUUCGGAUAAUGAUCAAAACCGAAGGUGAUAAUGUAUUAAAUUGGCGUGAUGUUCUAGGUGUAAACUAAAGUGAACUAAACAAGGCGGAUCCCUUCAAAGCGCCGCUGAUUGCAUUGCAUGCAUAAGAUUGUGAUGCAACACUGGAGUCUGGAGAGCCAUGAAGCCAAUGCACAUUAACACUGGAGUCUGGAGAGCCAUGAAUUCAAUGCAAUGUGCAUUGGCUGUUGGACUAAUUCGUAAUAAACAUUAGAUAUUAAUUGAUGAUCUGACGAAGCCGUUCAUAAGCAAUGAAUAUGUAUAUUUGUGCGUUAUAGAGUGAUACGGUAUCAUCACGUCAACUAGUGAUAUUCUCAUUUAAAAUUUGAUAUGUAUCAAUUUUAAAAGAAAAUUAAAAAACAAUUACACAUGAACUUUGUCUUUCAAGUUCACCCUUCAACAUUAAUUAGACCUAAUCCCUCUCCCACCAUCUCUUCUCUCUUUUCCCUCGCCACCCACCCCAGCCUUUCUCUCCCUUCUCCUCCAACAUCACCAACCCCUCUUUACCUCCCUCUCAUUAACGCAUUAAGAAAAAACCAAAAAUCUUGUCUUGAAUAUAUAUGUGCAAAUCAGAAAUAUUCAAAAGCAUCUUCUAUGAUGAUAAGUUGACAACCCACAAAUGAAAGAAAUGUAAUGAUGGAUGUUUUGGGCAACCAAGUAACCUGGUAGACAGAUUGCCGAUGGGAUCUUGGUGGGACACUGCUACAAUCUUGUUUUCUUUUUCAUGUUUUUCAAAAAAAGUUAAAUAAAAUUUAUUCAGAGUAAAGUUAGAAGACAAAGUACAACUAUGAAAAAAAUAUAAUUAUUUUUUUAAAAUUGACACGUGUUAGAUUUUGAGUGGGAGUAUCACCCGUUGACGUGGUGAUACCAUCUUAUUCUAUAAUUUCUCCUGUGCAUAAAGCCAUAUUAUAUUAUUAGACAACUAUAUAUAUAUAUAUUUUUUUUUUCUGCAAUGAAUUUAAGCUCAAUCUCAGUAGAAACUAUUAUAUUUCGUUUGGUGGUUCGGAUUAAAUUAGAUUAGAAUUGAAUUUAAGCUAGUUCUUAUUAGUCUUAUUCAUUUUUAUAAGAUACAAUAUGUAGAAUGGUUGUCCAUUUUAAUAAGAUCAUUUCCGGAGCACCGAAACAAUUAAGACUAUAACCAUUUAAUUGAUAUAGUCCAGUACAAUCCCACCCAGGGGCAGUUCUACACCUAGGGCAAGGUAGGUUGCUGCCUAUCCCAAAUUUUUCAAAAAGGAAAAAAUACCCAUAUGUAAUAGGCCAACCCAUGUGAAACAUACAAACCUAUGCCCACCCAAAAAGCAACCCACAUGUAUGCAUAAUCUAAAAUUUCUCUCCUCCUUAAUUAUCUUCUCUUUAAUUUCCUACCUCCAAAUUUUAAGAUGUUGUAUAUGACAACAUUGAAUAUAACAUAUUUUAAAUAGGUUAGAAGUUAUGUGUUCUAAUCAAUUUUAGGGUUUACUUAAGAAUGAAUUAUAAUUUGUUGACUUUGUUGAAAUUAAUUAGGUCUUUGGAAUUUUGUUGAGAUGUUUGAUUUGAUAUUGGUAUUGUUGAGAAGUUUGAUUUGUUGUUGGUAUGUUAAUGUUUGAUUAAAGUCAUUGAUGCUAUUAUGACAAUUUAUUUGAUUUUUUGUUGGGAUGUUGGAUUAAAUAGGUUAUCUUUUGGGAUGCCUAUGCCUAUGCAAUCUUAGUUGGGAUGCCUAUGCUAGAGUUUCUUCGAUCUUGCCUGAUCGUUAGUGGAGACAUACAUGAUUUUCUUAAUUUUAAUAUUAGACCACUCUGUUAUUGUAAUGAUCCUUUUGUGGCUAGUUUGUAUUGACCUUUUAUGGCUAGUGGCUUUUUUGGCUGAAUUAUGAAUGCAAUCAUAGAAUUUCUCAAAAAAAAAAAAAAAAAAGGUUAUCUUUUGUUAUAUCGGAUCACAAUCUGAACCCCAAGAAAACAAAGAAUUUUUUGGAUUUUUUUUUAUAAGAAAAAGAAUAGGUUUUUUUUUUUGGCUAAACUUUUAUUUAUAUAUAGAGAUGUAUUUGAGGGUAAGACUUAUUACGUCCCCCUACUAAAGUGUAUAUUUUUAUGUUUUUUUUUUUUUAAUGAGAUUCACUCAUAACAUUGAGUUUUUAAUGUAGACUUCGCCCAACUGAAUUUCGAAUCUUGAAUCCACCAUUAAUCUCACCCACUAUACACACAUGAAACUGCAAAUUAAGAACAGAAAUAGUACCCUUUAUUUAGAUUAAUAGGCAGUUGAAUUUCUCAAAAGCCUCGGCAAACGGUACAUAUUUUAUUUUUUUUAUCAGGAACUGGAUGAUCCAAAUACAGAUUAAAACACCAGAAAGAAAAAAAAGAACAAGAUGGAAUUGAAUCAAUUCUAAUCUCUUGGGGAAAGAAGCACUUUGCUAACCACAUUUUCCAGAGCCAAGUAAGACGACCCUUUUGGGGCAGUGGCGUCCUCUGCCAACUUCUUCCAUUCAAGGGCUUUCUUCCUCAUCUUUUUGCCCUCUUCUCCAUCCAUCAAUGUCCUCACAAGACCGUCAAUGUAAUCUCUUUUAACUUCCCCGUCUAUCUCAAUGCCUAUGCCCCACUGUGUGCAGCUGUACCUAACAUUUGUUUGCUGCUCUGCAAAGAAAGGCCAGCAGAUGAGAGGCACUCCGCCACACAAGGCCUCGAGGGUAGAGUUCCAGCCACUGUGAGUCAAGAACCCUCCAAUGGCUGAGUGGAGCAGAACCUGUUCUUGAGGGCACCAACUUGCCAACAUACCCCUCUCUUUGGUCUCCUCCAAAAACUCAGGCGGCACCACAGCGGUUUCUCCAGCAACAAGGCCAGGCCUGAUGAUCCACAAAAAUGGCUUCUUGCUAUUUGCAAGUCCCCAAGAAAACUCAACCAGCUGCUCAUUUGUCAUGACUGUGGUGCUUCCAAAGUUGACAUAAACCACAGAGUUGGGCUCUUUGGUGUCCAGCCAGUUAAGGCACUCUGUAUUCUCUGCCCACAGGUUCGAUCCGAUCGCCUUCAAAUCAUUGUAUUCUGAUGGAAUCUCGCUGUAUGGUAGCUGAAGGGGUCCAAUGGAGUAAAUAGGAGGUAGCAAAGUGGAAAGGGCAUCCACAACUUCUUGCUCCAAGGCAUCAAAUGUGUUCAAAAUAAUAGCAGAAGCCUUUUUGGAUCGCUCUGUUUCAGACACCAUAUAAUGCAGCAUGAUGUCGUUUGGGUCUGUGGUUCUAAUAAAGCUAGGCAUGUCCUUCAAUCUGACAUCCUUCAUGCCUGGGAUCCAAUCAAUCUCUGUAUCCAAAUACCCAUUUGCAAAAUCCUUGGCAUCUGCAGAUCAAAUUAAGAAAUCAAUGGAACUAGUUAGCUAACACUCUUUAAGUUUUUUUUAAAAAAAGUGAACUUCUGUUUUUUUUUUUCCCUGAAUGAUUAAUUGAUAGUACCUUUAAAAGGAGUGAGGCCCUUCUCAAUGAGACGGUAAUACUGAACGUAGCCCAUCAAGCCACAAGCACUAGUUGUCCAGAAAAGCACUUCUGGGAUCCCGAAAUGCUCUGCUGCAUCAAGGGUGAAGCUGGUGACACCAUCAGCAACAAUACAAGUCACAGGAGGGGAAUCGGGUGAAGAGUUGAGCUUGGUCAAAAGCGCCUCGAAGGGUGCCAAGCAGGUUUUACUAGUGGAAUCGCACACCAAAGGCAAGUUGCGCCUGGCAUCGGCAUCAGCCGGAGGGAGGCCGUCGGGAAUGGUUUCGAAUCGAAACGAAGGGAGGCCGUCGAGAGCGUGGGAACCUUGGGAUUCAAGCAUGCGCUUGUGGUUGAACUCUGUGUUCACAAAGGUUAUGUGGAAGCCUUUGUAGUUGAGGAGCUUGGCUAAUUGCAGCAUAGGGUUUAUGUGACCCUGAGCUGGGAAGGGUACAAAAACUGCAUGUGGCUUCUCUUUGGAGGCAACUGGACUCAUUUUCUCUGUAUGAUAUCCUAGACAAAAGAGCUGAAGGGAAAUGGAGAUGAUGGGAUGCUAAGAGAAGUGUAAGAACUUGCAGUUUUAUAGUGGUGAAGGGUCAAGGGCUGCACUGUGCGGGCAAGUGCUUCUUGACCGUUGAUGCAUUUUUCGGAUUCUCUAUCUGUUUUUUUAAGAUAAAUUGAGUGCCAGUCAUUCCUCGUGGUAUGAUUAUUAUAAUCUCAGAGAUCGACCUUUCCAAAUGAGUCCAAGGCCACGGUGUCCAGAACAAAUGCUCGCACAACUACUGCCUGAUUAGUGUGUUAGAUUGGAGACAUUGUCGCAUGGCAAGUGUGAAAUGUGUGAAAUGUAUGUAGACUUCAAAACGCACACAAGGUUCAGUCAUAAUCAGAAGAGAAAUGCUGGCCGGCAACUUUCAUAAUUUCAUGGGCCAUACUCUUUUAAAUAAAGAUGUAGAAAGUCUUUAAAAAAAGGAGAAGUUUUAGAGAAUAAAUUACAUUGGGAAAAAGAAAAAGAAGUUUCACACUUUCAUUUUUUUCACUUACACUCGUGCAAAGAUAACUAGUCUUAAAUGAUUAUUCAGUAAUUUAUAAAAUAAAAUAAAAUAACAAACUAUGCUCCUGUGUAUAAGGUUGCAUUUUAUGAAGAACAAACAUUAUUUGUCACCAUCAAUUAUGGAUGUUAUUACUUUUUGGUUUAGUUUAAUAUUGAAAAGAGGGAAUAAAUACAUGACCUUGGUUAUAACUUAUAGGGACAAAUAUUCUAAGUCACUUCAGCCCCUUAUAAAAUUUCAAAUUUGACUAAACCAUAUCAUUUUUCAUCUUGACUACCCUACAAUCUCAUUAAAUCUUUCUUUUUCCAUUUGCCUAUGCUAGUCACCAGUCAUUAGAAAAUCCUUGUGGCUGGAUGUCGAAGAGUCUAUGCCAAUGCCCAUUAGUUAUUCCAUUUGAAAGAACAUGUGCUUUGUUUUAUGCAUUUACUUUUUAUUUUAUUUUAUACAAGCGAUAUUGAGGGGAGAGAAAUCGAACUUAGGACCUCGGGUGUAAGUGUAUUUGUUCUUAAUCACUUGAGCUACAAACAGGGGCAGAGCCAUUAAAGGAUUAGUGUGGUCCCAUGCCCCCACUCCAUCUUUUAUUCAUUGUAUUAUAAUAUUAUGUAUGAUGUAUAAUAUUUAACAUAUUAGACUAGUUUUAGGAGAUAUUUAUCCUAAAAUAAAUAGUAUAUUUUUUGUAUUUUUUGUCUACAACAAUAAAACUUCUUAAUCACUUUUUUAUUUCUCUCUUUUACCUUCUAGAUUAGUUUAUGAUAUUUACACUAAAAACUCCUACAUUUUUAACCUUUCUUUCUCUUUUUCUUUUGUGUAAGUUAAACUUUGUGAAUUUUUAUUUCCCUCUCUUUUUUCAUAGAUUUUAUGAACCCCUUUUGUAUUUAUUCUCUAUGUUGGAAUAUAAAUUAUUAAUUUGUGAGUUUAUAAUAUUUUAGAUGAUGAGAUUAGUACUUAACCAUUAUAAAAUAUGAAAUUGCGGACAAUUAUGAUUGUAAUGAAUGGAUAUAUUAAUCAAUAUAAAAUGAUGUUAUGAAGUAGGCCAAAAGGAGUAGUUUAAUUAGUGUCAUAUUAAUUUAGCAUAUUCUUAAUAAACUUGUGAAUGAGAAUGACUCCCUUUAAUUUGAAAUCCUGAUUCUGCCAUUGACUACAAGUCCCUUGCACAUUUACCUUUUUCAUUUAAGUCUGAAGAAUGCCUUGUAAAAAUGUAAAACGAAAACUAUUAUUGACACUGCAAAGAAAACAUCAUACAUUAAUUCAUUCAAUUGUAAUUUCUCUUAUGAUUUUAUAAUUUUUUAGAAUUCCAAUAACAGCUCUGGAUAAAAUUCAUUAGAAAGAAGAAUUGAAGUAUGUUCAAACAGAUUUCAAAAUAGACUAAACAAUUUAUCAGUAACAACUUUUGUCAGCUUAAUUCCAUUUGUGUGUCAAUUUCGUCCUUAUUAUCAUAAAUUCUGUUAUCAGUAAACAAUCCCCAUAUCAAACAGAGUGUUCAGUUAAGGACAGUGACAAUCGAGCAAUAUUGCCUGACGAAACACCAAACCAGAACUUAAAAUCACGAUAAAAAGGAAAAGAAAGACGUGCUGUCUUCAAUGAGAAAACCAACUUCAGAUCUAUUCUCACACCAAGUGAAAACAUAAGGACAAGAUUGAUGAAAUCGAUGACACAUUAACACUACAACACUGGGCGAAACUCGAGUUUCAUUGUGUUGAAAUGAGUGAUACGAGUGUGCCUUAAUCUAAGAAACAUUGCACACCGCCCAAAAAAAUACUCAAUAAUUGUAUUUUGGUCAAACAAAAAAGAUGAGCAAAUUACAAAAAAAGUAAAAAUAAAAAUAAUCAGGGAAUUCAGAAGAUGUUAUAAAGUAAUAAGCGAAGCCCAUAUAAAGAAAGUAAAAGGAUAUUAGUCAAAAGAUGAAAUUAUGAUGUUGCGUAAAAGUAUCAUUAUGUCUCCUUUAGAUGCCAUUUGCUUUGCCUAUAAAUAGGCAUCAUUUUACUUGUAAAGAUACAUGAAUGGAGAAAAGAAGAGAAAGAAGAGAAAGUGAGAGGAAAUAAGAGAGAGUGAGAAAUCUGAGUGUGUGAGUUCUGUCUAAGAAGAAAUUCUAUCAGUGUAAACAUCAUAAAGAGCAAAUAUAAUUUCACUCCCAAUAUUCAGUGGUACUUCUCAUACUCUUUAAUUUCUUUAGUUUUAUAACACGUUAUCAGCACAAUAGUCUCUCCUUUUUAUUUCUAAAUUUGUCCCAGUGUGCUCAACACUAUGUGGUUAUUUCUCUGUCUCCUCUCUGUCAUAUGUCUCAUCUCACUUUACUACUACGACGACAUGCAAACUUUCUUUUUUGUGUUCUCACAAUUUUUAUGUUGUUUCAUCCAUGCUUGUUUAAUUUACUUCUUUGUAACGUAAUUUGGAAUGAUGCCGUUUUAUACCCCAUCAUGUUGUUUUAUGGUGGUGUAAUUUUUAUUACCCAUCACGUUGUAACACAAAUUAUCAUAAUAAAAUGAUGGUGUGAUCUUAAAACCCAUAUAUUAUAUUUUGAAUAGUGGCGCAGUUAUAUUGCCUGCAAUAUAUAAUAUGUUAUAUACUUUAUAUAUUUUAGGUGGUGGUUUUUGUCUCCACAUUUACUUUAACAAAAUGGACGGUUUUCACCUCCUAUAUUUUUCAGUGGUGGUUUUAUCCCCACAUUUAUUUUAUUUAUGGUAUAGAGUAGGUUUAUUACUCAUACGGCAAUAUUUAUUUAAAAAUGUGGCACGGGUUUAUCGUCCACACAGCUGCCUUUAUUUUUAUUUAAAAGUAUGGAGCAGAAUUAGUCCCCCUGCAAGCACAUUUGCUUUAUUAUUGUAUGGUGUGGAAUUAACCUCCAUACAACAAGCAAUUUACUUUAUGAAUUUACUUUACUGCACAUUUUCUUUCAUUUAAGGUAUAGUGCGAAUUUAUCGUCCAUACCAGCAAAUUUAUGGCACUUUAUUUUUAUCAUCAAUUAAUAUACCUGAAUAAUGAGGGCCUGAAGUUCCUAUUAAUAAGUGGCUUAAUGUCCCAGAUCCCAAGCCUAAAGUUUCGGAUGGCAAAUUUGGCAAAACUGAAGUUUACUGCCUUGGACAUUUCUGGAGACAACUAUUUAUCAUGGCUUUUGGUUGCCAAAAUCCAUCUACGUGCCAAUGGCCUCGUACAAACAAUUUUAUAUGGGAAUGAUGAUUUGCCUGAAGAAAAUGCGAAGGCCAUGAUCUUUCUUCGUCACCACAUCCAUGAAGCGCUGAAAAGCGAAUAUGUGGUGGUUGAUGAACCGUUGGUUCUAUGGAAAGCUUUAGGUGAAAGAUACGAUCACUAGAAGAUGGUGACCUUCCCAAGAGCUAGAUAUGAAUGGACCUACUUGAGAUUUCAAGAUUUCAAGACAGUGUCCGAGUACAACUUUGCUAUGCACAGAAUUACCUCAUUGAUGAGGCUAUGUGGUGAAAAUAUAUCUGAGGAGGAUAUGCUCGAAAAAAACUUUGAGCACUUUUCAUGCUUCAAAUGUCCUCCUGUAGCAGCAAUACAGACAUAGCGGUUUCAAGAAGUACUCGGAACUUGUAUCUUGCCUCUUGUUAGUUGAGCAGAAUAAUGAACUCUUAUUAAAGAAUCACCAAUCUUACCCAACGGGCUCAGCACCACUUCUUGAAGUAAAUGUUGCAUCUCAAGAAGUGAAUGUCACCUCAUCCCGUGGCAAUAUCCACAGACGUGGACAAAAAGGCAAGCGUGGCUGCUGGCAAAGAAGCAAAAAAGAUCGUGGUGCUCGUUCAGAUGGUUUAGGUUCAAUGAGCAAUCAUCCACGAAUGGCAAAAAUGCAUCCCGUAAUAAGGGGAAGGCACGGACGAGCCAUGUGCCUAGAAAUGUGGGAAGUACUUGUCACAGAUGUGGUGCAAAGGGACAUUAGGCGCGUGAAUGUCAUACGCCCAAGUAUUUGGCAAGCUCCAAAAGAGUCAAGAAAUUAAAGUCAGACAAAUCCGCUCAAACGAUAACCUGGCAGAUCUCUUCACCAAAUUAUUGCCAAAAUGUACAUUUCAAAAGUUAGUGCAUGGCAUCGGAUUACGAUAACUCUUCAAGCAAUCAAAUUGAAACAUGCAAAAUUAGGGGGAGCAUUCAAGAGUCCACUAACACAGGACAUAUGAGCGUUGUACUCUUUUUCCUUCGACUAGGGUUUUUCCUAGCAAGGUUUUAACGAGGCAACAUGAGCGCAUUUAACAUUACCCUUAUGUCCUAAAUAAAGUUGUACUCUUUUUCCUUCAUUUAUGUUUUUUCCCACUGGAUUUUUUCAAGUAAGUUUUUAAUGAGGCAACCAAUCUAGGGACAUGUAGUCUCCAAGGGGGAGUGUUAUAAAGUAAGAAGUGAAGCCCACAUGAAGAAAGUAAGGAGGUAUUAGUCAAAAGAUGAAAUUAUGAUGUUGGGUAGAAGUAUCAUUAUGUCUCCCUUAGAUGCCAUUUGCUUUGCCUAUAAAUAGGCAUCAUUUUACUUGUAAAGAUACAAUAAUGGAGAAGAGAAGAGAGAGAAGAGAAAGUGAGAGCAAAGAAGAGAGAGUGAGAAAUCUGAGUAUUUGAGUUCUGUUUGAGAAGAAAUUUUGUCAGUGUAAACACCAUAAAGAGAAAAUAUAAUUCCACUCUCAAUAUUCAGUGGUACUUCUCAUACUCUUUGAUUUCUUUAGUUUUAUAACAGUAGACAAAUUCUUCAGCUACACCACCCAAGAAUUUUUCCUGGAAAUAGAGUUUUGAAAGUGGUACCAAGGACAAGUUCAUGUGACAAAAUUAAUACAUUCUAAUUUUUGGAAGAUAGAAGCACCUUGUUAACCAUUUGUUCCAAAUCCAAAAAGGAUGAUCCAUAUGGACCAGUAGUAGCCUCCUCUGCCAACUUCUUCCAUUCCAAGGCUUUCUUCCUCAUCUUUUUGCCCUCCUCUCCCUCCAUCAACUUUCUCACCAGCUCCUCCACAUAAUUUCUUUUCACAUCAUCCCCUACCUCCAACCCUACGCCCCAUUCUCUGCAGCUGUACCUACAAUUGGUUGGCUGCUCUCCACAGAAGGACCAACAGAUCAGAGGCACACCACCGCACAAACUUUCCAGUGUAGAGUUCCAUCCACUGUGCGUCAAGAACCCUCCCACCGCUGGGUGGCUCAGGACUUGUUCUUGAGGGCACCAAUGAGCCAAUAGAGACCUGUCUUUCGUCUCUUCCAAAAACUCUGCUGGAACCACAGCUGAUUCUCCCCUAACAAGGUCUGGCCUAAUCACCCAUAGAAAUUUUUUUUUGCUAUUUGCAAGUCCCCAAGCAAACUCAAUCAGCUGCUCAUUUGUGGUGACUGCAAUGCUUCCAAAGUUGACAUAAACCACAGAGUUGGGUUCUUUGGUGUCUAGCCAUUGAAGACACUCUGGCUCCUCUGUCCAUAGGUUUGAAACAAUCGACUUCAACUCGUUCUCUGCUGGGAUCUGUUUGAGUUGUAGGUUUAGGGGUCCAAUGGAGUAAACAGGUGGAAGCAAAGUUGAAAGUGAGUCUAUGACUUCAUGUUCCAAGUCAUGAAAUGUGUUCAGAAUGACGGCGGAAGCUUUCUUAGUUCUCUCUGUUUCACCCACCAGAAAAUUCAGCAUGAUAUCAUCUGGCUCUGUGGUUCUCAUGAAGGUUGGCAAGUCCUUCAAACGGAUGUUCCUCAUGCCUGGUACCCAAUCUAGCACAGUAUUUAAAUGCCCGUUUGUAAAAUAACUGGCAUCUGCAAAAUCAGAUUAACAAAGUCUGUUAUGUUUUGUUCAGAGGGAAAAACGGCAGUUUACUCUUAAUCAGACAAUUGAUUGAUUGAUUAAUACCUUCAAAAGGAGUGAGACCUUUUUCUAUGAGUUGAUGAAACUGAACGUAGCCCAUGAAACCACAAGCACUAGGUGUCCAGAAAAAAACUGCGGGAACACCAAGUUCCUGAGCUGCAUCAAGAGUGAAACUCAUAACACCAUCAGUGAUUAAGCAAGUGACACGUGGGGAAUCAGGCGAAGAAUUGAGCUUGGAGAGAAGGUCUCUGAAGUGAGGCAAGGAGUGUUUGCUAGUGGAAUCACAUAAGGAUGGUAUGUCUUGGGUGGCAUCGGCAUCGGUUGGAGGAAGGCCAUCGGAAAUGGUCUCGAAUCGAAACGUGGGGAGGCCGUUAAGAGCGUCGGGACCUCGAGAUUUAAGGAGGCGUUUGUGGUUGUACUCUGUGUUCACAAAGGUUAUGUGGAAGCCUUUGUAGUGGAGGAGUUUGGCUAAUUGCAUGAGAGGGUUUAUGUGACCUUGAGAUGGGAAUGGCACGAAGACUGCAUGUGACUUCUUUGAGGUCAAGGCAAUUGAACUCAUCCUCUCUCCCGUCUCUCCCA
RNAcentral lists this long non-coding RNA (18933 nucleotides) under Prunus persica (peach). RNAcentral's name for it is "long non-coding RNA (PPER_LNC001560)". The record is from RNAcentral. Lineage: Eukaryota; Viridiplantae; Streptophyta; Magnoliopsida; Rosales; Rosaceae.